AUUGAACGCUGGCGGCAGGCCUAACACAUGCAAGUCGAGCGGCAGCGGGAAAGUAGCUUGCUACUUUUGCCGGCGAGCGGCGGACGGGUGAGUAAUGCCUGGGAAAUUGCCCAGUCGAGGGGGAUAACAGUUGGAAACGACUGCUAAUACCGCAUACGCCCUACGGGGGAAAGCAGGGGACCUUCGGGCCUUGCGCGAUUGGAUAUGCCCAGGUGGGAUUAGCUAGUUGGUGAGGUAAUAGCUCACCAAGGCGACGAUCCCUAGCUGGUCUGAGAGGAUGAUCAGCCACACUGGAACUGAGACACGGUCCAGACUCCUACGGGAGGCAGCAGUGGGGAAUAUUGCACAAUGGGGGAAACCCUGAUGCAGCCAUGCCGCGUGUGUGAAGAAGGCCUUCGGGUUGUAAAGCACUUUCAGCGAGGAGGAAAGGUUGAUGCCUAAUACGUAUCAACUGUGACGUUACUCGCAGAAGAAGCACCGGCUAACUCCGUGCCAGCAGCCGCCGCAG
RNAcentral lists this ribosomal RNA (508 nucleotides) under uncultured bacterium. Its description in RNAcentral is "partial 16S ribosomal RNA". It matches the Rfam family "Bacterial small subunit ribosomal RNA", at positions 30 to 523 of the family's 1533-position model. The record is from RNAcentral.